UACGUAGGGGGCAAGCGUUGUCCGGAUUUAUUGGGUUUAAAGGGUGCGUAGGCGGCAUUUUAAGUCAGUGGUGAAAUACUUCAGCUUAACUGGAGAGGUGCCAUUGAUACUGGGAUGCUUGAGUACUGAUGAGGUAGGCGGAAUGGACGGUGUAGCGGUGAAAUGCUUAGAUAUCGUCCAGAACACCGAUAGCGAAGGCAGCUUACUAAGGAGUAACUGACGCUGAGGCACGAAAGUGUGGGGAUCAAACAGG
This 253-nucleotide ribosomal RNA is filed under the name uncultured bacterium. RNAcentral describes it as "partial 16S ribosomal RNA". It matches the Rfam family "Bacterial small subunit ribosomal RNA", at positions 524 to 776 of the family's 1533-position model. The record is from RNAcentral.